This is a long non-coding RNA of Carassius auratus (goldfish), 456 nucleotides long. RefSeq lists it as uncharacterized. The transcript has 3 exons. Lineage: Eukaryota; Metazoa; Chordata; Actinopteri; Cypriniformes; Cyprinidae. The record is from RefSeq and is a predicted model, not a curated record.
GGAUCACGGGUGAAGAAGAAGAAGAUAACGGUCAUCGAUUAACUUCUAACCAACAUUUGCAAUGUGAGCUUAUUGGAGUGGAAUAUCUUUACCAGCAAACUGGUAAAGUUCUGCAGGACUACAAGUUGGCCAUUGAAGAGUCAGAGACUACUGAGGUUGGUAUAGAGGUGGAUGAAGGUUAUGCUGAACUUGAGGAGUUUCAGGACAUCACUGUCCCCACCUUUGACACUGAACGGACACCUGCUGCCUCUUCACAAGCAUCAGUGUCUGCAGCAUCUGCAGCAUCAUUUCCAACUCCUCCAGCAAACAGCACCACGUCGUCACUGUUUGUGGUCCCUCCAUCAUCAGUGUCAUCUCCUGUCAGCAGCUCACUGCACGCUGAAUCAACUCUUUCCUGGAGCACAUAGCUUGGACCGAUUAUCUGCAGAAACGGAUCGUCCAACAUUGGAAGAGAAC